Molecule: non-coding RNA, 662 nt
Filed under: Pan troglodytes (chimpanzee)
Lineage: Eukaryota; Metazoa; Chordata; Mammalia; Primates; Hominidae
Source: RNAcentral
AACCCCAUAGGCAAGCUACUAUUAUUGCACCUGUUUCACAGAUAGGGAAAGGGGUCCCAGAAGUGGCAAACCCAAGUUCACCCUUCUGAGAAAUGGUGUGGAAACUGGAGCCCAGAGAGCAUAAGUAACCUGUCCAGAGAUGCACAACACACAAAUAGUGCGCUUCCAAAGCUCAUGUUCGCUCUGACCCAGGCCGCUGCUCAGAUAAAAAACUUACCGGAUCGGACAUGGUGAAGUAAGCACCUGAGAAACGGGUGCGAUUAUUUUCUUCCUGCACCUGCAGGGCGGGCUGCACGAAGGCGGCGGCCAGGCCGUGUGCAUUCCCCGGAAGCUUUCUUAAUGCAAAGUGACAGAGCGCGGCGGUCUGGGGCUGGAGCCGCUGCCCCCUCUACGUGCUCCCCAAUUCCGGCGCUUGGUGGUUCUCCCUGCACUCUGGCGCCGCACCCCGCUGGCUCUCCGCUCCCAGCCCGUGCUGCCACGCUUGGGCGCCCUGCACUGGGGACAUCCCUCCCAGUUCUUCCCAGCCUCUCUGGGAGCCGGCGAGGGGGCUCCGCCAAGACGCCCCUGCUAGGCUGGCAGCCCGGGUGCUGGCCCCACUCCUGGCGAACCCGCCUCACCUCCUGGCGCUCCUGUUGCCGCUGCUUGCGCUGGCCCUCGGGUCG